GUUCGCAAAUGAAUAAAAUUAUUGGCUGCUCUUGUUUUCUUUUGUUCUUGACAUUGAAGUCAAACCUCCUAGUUACCUGUGUUCAAAACUUGAUCGCUAUAUUGUUGAUGCUGUUCGCUCUCAUAAAAUGGAACCCAUUCCGUACUGGCUAUGAAUAGGAGUUGUUAUUUAAGCUUGUGCUCAAUUGUUAGCCUGCUACUUUGAUAAGUUUGCAGUAAGUGCCUCGACCCGAAGUUUACGAGGAUUACAGUAAUUGUUUGCACAUGAGCACUUGUUUGCAAUCUCGCUAUGCUAAGCUUUCAGGUAUUUCACAAGCACGUGGGCAAGUUGAAUCAGGAGCCUAAAUCCUCUGGCCUGUCAUCUGCCACAAUUUGAGACUCUUUCUCGAGUGAAGAAUCG
This 399-nucleotide ribosomal RNA is filed under the name Triticum aestivum (bread wheat). RNAcentral's name for it is "partial small subunit ribosomal RNA". Lineage: Eukaryota; Viridiplantae; Streptophyta; Magnoliopsida; Poales; Poaceae. The record is from RNAcentral.